GACGAACGCUGGCGGCGUGCUUAACACAUGCAAGUCGAACGGUGAAGCUCCAGCUUGCUGGAGUGGAUCAGUGGCGAACGGGUGAGUAACACGUGAGCAACCUGCCCCUGACUCUGGAAUAAGCGCUGGAAACGGCGUCUAAUACUGGAUACGAGAAGGGUCCGCAUGGGCACUUUCUGGACAGUUUUUCGGUUGGGGAUGGGCUCGCGGCUUAUCAGCUUGUUGGUGAGGUAAUGGCUCACCAAGGCGACGACGGGUAGCCGGCCUGAGAGGGCGACCGGCAACACUGGGACUGAGACACGGCCCAGAGUGCAACGGGAGGCAGCAGGGGGGAAUAUUGCACAAUGGGCGAAAGCCUGAGGCAGAGACGCCGGGUGAGGGAUGACGGCCUUCGGGGUGUAAACCGCUGUCAGCAGGGAAGAAGCGAAAGUGACGGUACCUGCAGAAGAAGCACCGGCUAACUACGUG
Molecule: ribosomal RNA, 468 nt
Filed under: uncultured bacterium
Lineage: Bacteria
Description: partial 16S ribosomal RNA
Rfam family: Bacterial small subunit ribosomal RNA
Source: RNAcentral